Molecule: ribosomal RNA, 429 nt
Filed under: Gemmatimonadota bacterium
Lineage: Bacteria; Pseudomonadati; Gemmatimonadota
Description: Gemmatimonadetes bacterium partial 16S ribosomal RNA
Rfam family: Bacterial small subunit ribosomal RNA
Source: RNAcentral
UAGGGAAUCUUCGGCAAUGGACGAAAGUCUGACCGAGCAACGCCGCGUGAGUGAAGAAGGUUUUCGGAUCGUAAAACUCUGUUGUCAGAGAAGAACAAGGACGUUAGUAACUGAACGUCCCCUGACGGUAUCUAACCAGAAAGCCACGGCUAACUACGUGCCAGCAGCCGCGGUAAUACGUAGGUGGCAAGCGUUGUCCGGAUUUAUUGGGCGUAAAGCGAGCGCAGGCGGUUUCUUAAGUCUGAUGUGAAAGCCCCCGGCUCAACCGGGGAUGGUCAUUGGAAACUGGUAGACUUGAGUGCAGAAGAGGAGAGUGGAAUUCCGUGUGUGGCGGUGAAAUGCGUAGAUAUAUGGAGGAACACCAGUGGCGAAGGCGGCUCUCUGGUCUGUAACUGACGCUGAGGCUAGAAAGCGUGGGGAGCAAACAGG